This 1884-nucleotide long non-coding RNA is filed under the name Oncorhynchus kisutch (coho salmon). RNAcentral describes it as "lncRNA (ENSOKIG00005008300.1)". The record is from RNAcentral. Lineage: Eukaryota; Metazoa; Chordata; Actinopteri; Salmoniformes; Salmonidae.
AUUUAAAAAAAGAGCCAGAGGACCAAAAGAAGAAACAUGGGAAAGAAGUCUGCAUCUUUGUUCUGAUGAACCCUCGUAAACAGGAUGAAACCGCUCAGCAACUUCAUCACGUGUCUACCCUGCUUGAUUAACUGAUGAAUUAGCCUGUGCAGUCAGAUCAUCUUUAAACAUGUCUGACAACAUAAAUCCACAAACCUUGUCAGAGACACAGUUGACAGUGAAGCAAAGUGACAAGCACACUGGGCAGAGUAAUCUUCUUCAAUCACCUACGAAACAGACAUUCAAGUCAGCUGCAAAUGGCACUACUGCCGUUAUACCAGACUCAGGGGACAAGUUCUCCAGCUCCUCUCAUCAGUCCGUUUCAGAGAAAGGAACAAAGGUCGCUGGUCAAAAGGCUAAUACUAAAAAAACGAAAAGAAAGAAAAAUAUGGCAACCUUGGACAAGAAUGCUGAAGACCAGAUGGUGAACCAGAAUAGGCCACCCGACCUAAAAGACCAGGACAAUGCGCAAACUACUGCUGCUGUUAAGGAUGUCUGUUUUGGUUCUCAAAAGACCGAGACCAUAGGUUCCAGUGUUGACCCACCGGAAGUGGAGCCUAUGGAGAUUGAGCAGUCUGCCGAUGGGAAAGGAGAUGCCUCCUUUUCACCAACAAGUCCAGAUUUUAAGAUGGAACCAAAGGACAACACAAUAGUUGGAUCUGAGACAGAAAUCAAAGGUGCCAGUGUUGACCGACACGUGGAGCCUAUGGAGGUUGAGCAGUCUGCCCAAGGGAAAGGAGAUGCCUCCCUUUCACCAACUAGUCCAGAUAUUAAGAGGGACAACACAAGUGAUGCCUCUGAAACUCCGGCUGGACCGCCGCCAGAAAGUUUCAGCACAGCCGUGGUUGGAUCAGAGACAGACAGCAUCCCCUCCAGUGUUGGCCUACAGGAUGAUGCCAUGGAGGUCGAGCAGUCUGACCAUAGGAAAGGAGACACGAACAGUGAUGACUCUGGAACUAUGGAUAAAAAGUAUCCUUGUCCACCUCCAAAAAGGUAUUCAUUCCAAAACGUUCUGCUAAAACCGGAUGUCAUUCAAUGCUCAUGGUUAUUUAAAUCCCCUUCCCCAAUACUUAUCCUGCAUACCUGCAUAUGUUUAGACCAAGGCUCCCCAACCAUCUCCUACCAUCCUGGAGGUUUUAACACACCUGAUUCUAAUAAUUAGUUGGUUGAUAAGCUGAACCAAGUUGAUACAAAUCAAAUGUUAUUGGUCCAUACACAUGGUAAGCAGAUGUUAUUGGCCCAUACACAUGGUUAGCAGAUGUUAUUGGUCCUUACACAUGGUUAGCAGAUGUUAUUGGUCCAUACACAUGGUUAGCAGAUGUUAUUGGUCCUUACACAUGGUUAGCAGAUGUUAUUGGUCCUUACACAUGGUUAGCAGAUGUUAUUGGCCCAUACACAUGGUUAGCAGAUGUUAUUGGUCCUUACACAUGGUUAGCAGAUGUUAUUGGUCCAUACACAUGGUUAGCAGAUGUUAUUGGUCCUUACACAUGGUUAGCAGAUGUUAUUGGUCCAUACACAUGGUUAGCAGAUGUUAUUGGUCCUUACACAUGGUUAGCAGAUGUUAUUGGUCCUUACACAUGGUUAGCAGAUGUUAUUGGUCCAUACACAUGGUUAGCAGAUGUUAAUGAGAGUGUAGCGAAAUUCUUGUGCUUCUAGUUCCGACCAUGCAGUAAUAUCUAACAAGUAAUAUCUAACAAUUCCCCCAACGACUACCUAAUACACACAAAUCUAAAGAGGUGAAUAAGAAUAUGUCCAUAUAAAUAUAUGGAUGAGCGACGGCCGAGCGGAUGGUAUAAAAUACAGUAUAUACAUAUGAGAUGAGUCAAGUAAGACAUUAUUAAAGUG